CUACAGGUUUCCGUAGGUGAACCUGCGGAAGGAUCAUUAAUAGUGCCCUCUGAUGCAAAUCAUUGGGUUAGAUCUGCUCUCUUCGCAAGAAGAGGGUUUCCAUACACACCGUGAACUGUGGCUUCGGCCAUCACAAACUGUUAGUAAUGAAUGUAAUAUCAUAACAAAAACAAAACUUUUAACAACGGAUCUCUUGGCUCUCGCAUCGAUGAAGAACGCAGCGAAAUGCGAUAAGUAAUGUGAAUUGCAGAAUUCAGAGAAUCAUCGAAUCUUUGAACGCACCUUGCGCCCUUUGGUAUUCCGAAGGGCAUGCCUGUUUGAGUGUCAUGAAACCUCACCCCACUUGGGUUUUUGCCUGAGCGGUGGUGUAUUGGGUGUUGCCUUGCUAAAGGCUCGCCUUAAAGACAUAAGCACCUUGGAUGUAAUACGUUUCAUCCUUCUGGGUGGCUGAUAACCCCACAUAUUCAUGAUCUGGCCUCAAAUCAGGUAGGGCUACCCGCUGAACUUAAGCAUAUCA
Molecule: ribosomal RNA, 517 nt
Filed under: uncultured fungus
Lineage: Eukaryota; Fungi
Description: eukaryotic LSU rRNA
Rfam family: 5.8S ribosomal RNA (bases 174-327)
Source: RNAcentral